Molecule: small RNA, 265 nt
Filed under: Sorex araneus (European shrew)
Lineage: Eukaryota; Metazoa; Chordata; Mammalia; Eulipotyphla; Soricidae
Description: 7SK RNA (ENSSARG00000017717.1)
Rfam family: 7SK RNA (bases 1-191)
About the family: 7SK was discovered as an abundant small nuclear RNA in the mid-70s but a possible function has only recently been suggested. Two independent studies have found that 7SK RNA binds the CDK9/cyclin T complex (known as elongation factor P-TEFb). P-TEFb activates transcription by phosphorylating the C-terminal domain of RNA polymerase II.
Source: RNAcentral
GGAUGUGAGGUCAAUCUUGCUGUGACAUCUGCCACCCCAUUGAUCUCCAUAGUUUAUUUGGCUGAUAUGGCUGGCUACAUAUGUGACCCCUUCUUCCUUCAUCACUCUACAUGAGUCUCUCCCAAAGCUGUGUGCUUGAUUAAAGAGGACGACCUUGGAGCAGGAGCGAUAGUACAGUGGGUAGGGCAUUUUCCUUGCACGCAGCCAACCUGGGUUCAAUCCCAGACAUCCCAUAUGGUCCCAAGCACCUCCAGGAGUAAUUCCU